This 636-nucleotide ribosomal RNA is filed under the name Triticum aestivum (bread wheat). RNAcentral's name for it is "partial small subunit ribosomal RNA". The record is from RNAcentral. Lineage: Eukaryota; Viridiplantae; Streptophyta; Magnoliopsida; Poales; Poaceae.
AUGUUUGAAUUAGAAUGUGAUGCUAGCGGCAUUGGUUUAGGCGGUGUUUUACUGCAAGAAGGCAAACCGGUAGCAUAUUUUAGUGAAAAACUCAGUGGGCCUAGUUUAAAUUAUUCAACAUAUGAUAAAGAACUUUAUGCACUAGUUCGGACUUUGGAGACAUUGCAACAUUAUUUAUGGCCUAAGGAGUUUGUCAUACAUUCUGAUCAUGAAUCACUCAAGCAUAUUAGAAGUCAAAGCAAACUGAACCGUAGACAUGCAAAAUGGGUUGAAUUUAUUGAGUCUUUUCCUUAUGUUAUUAAGCACAAGAAAGGGAAGGAGAUUGUUAUUGCCGAUGCAUUGUCUAGGCGCUAUACCAUGUUAUCACAACUUGACUUCAAAAUUUUUGGACUUGAAACUAUAAAAGAGCAAUAUGCUAAUGAUGUCGAUUUUAAAGAUAUUUUGCUCAAUUGCAGAGAGGGUAGAACUUGGAACAAGUUCGUCGUUAAUGACGGAUUUGUUUUUCGUGCUAAUAAGCUAUGCAUCCCAGAUAGCUCUGUUCGUCUUUUGUUGUUACCGGAGGCACAUGGCGGAGGACUUAUGGGACAUUUCGGUGUUAAAAAGACAGAAGACAUCCUUGCUGGUCAUUUCAUCUAG